Molecule: long non-coding RNA, 1917 nt
Organism: Xiphophorus hellerii (green swordtail)
Lineage: Eukaryota; Metazoa; Chordata; Actinopteri; Cyprinodontiformes; Poeciliidae
Exons: 3
Source: RefSeq, a predicted model, not a curated record
GGCAGACAUCACCUUCCUACAGAGCAGAACAGGACAGGAAGAAAAGCUCAACUGAAAGUUUUGUCUGGCCAGACUGGACCCAAAUACAGGACUGAAGACAGGCAGGCAUGCAGUGGAUCUUGAUGUUCUAGAAAACUAGAGGACAGAGGAAAAUCAGACUUACAUUGGAGAUGCUGCUGUCCUAGAAAUCACAGAAAUAAAAGCCACUGAGGUAAAAAACCACCACGGCUGUGUCCUCUUCAUUCUGCACCCUGAUCCCAUAUUCACUGCUGGUGCAGCAUUGAACUGCAGGUUUCUGCCAUGCAGCUGCUUCCCUCUGUGUGGACUUUCAUUUCACCUGUCACAUGUCUCAAUCAUGGACUAAUCUUUUUUAUUUUUUUAUUUUUUACCUUAAAAUACAUUAUAAUCUAAAAAAUAACCUGCUAAUCCCUUUUCAAACCAGUAUAUCCAAGGAGUUUACUCUCUUACCUGGAUCUGAUCAAUAUAUUUUUACUAUAAAGUCAGUUUAUGUUUAAGUUACUGGCCAAAUGCUUGUUGCUUUUAUGGGCAUUGUAAUGGAGCUUUCUACUUAUGUUGAUGUAUGAAAAAAUAUGGGUAGAUUAAGGCUAUAAUAUUUUAUUAAAAUAGCACAAAACUAUGAAUCUAGCAAGUAAAUUUAACUGUGGAAACAACUUUGUACUCCUGUAGAUAUGUUGAACUUGAUAUACAAAUGCUAAUAGAUUAUCAUUGUUGAUUGUUUUGUCACAGCUUUAGAAACAAGAUUCAUCGUCAGACUCUCUGUAAGGACAAAACGCUCUCAAUCCUCAUAGACAUACAAAGUUUUAGUAAGAACUUUUCUGCCACAGUUUAAAAUCAUGACUGUAAACACAUUUUAUAUAUAUCAGCGAUACAGAAAUAGGAAGGUUCUGGCUGGAAACUUAGUGUGAGGAAAAAAAAAUGGGAUUAAUGCCAACUAAAUUUUUAAGAUAUAAAAAAAAAUGCAAUUAAGGGCACGGCAGUGGCGCAGAGGUACAGAGGCCUCAGUCCUCUAGUCAGUCACAGGUUCGAGUCCCAGUCCGUUGACAUUCUCCCUCCAUGUCUUCUCCCUCUCUCAUUACCAACUUUCAUGUACAUUUUUUGUCUCAAAAUUCCUUAAAAACAAUAAUAAUAUAUAUUUGACAUUUCUGACAUUACAUCUGGUCAUAUUUCUAUCACUUUCCACCCUAAUUUUUCACAUGAUUGUGAUUCAGACUCAUGUGCUGAUUUACUUUUAGAAAAGAUUCUUUACUCAGUCAACUCCUGGCAAAGAACCUCAUCAACAACAAGCCUACUUUAAAGGCACGAAUAAAAAAAACAAAACAUUCAAAGGUCCAAUGUCCACGUGGCAGCUACUUAAAGAGUAACUAUACCACACAUCCACUUUUUUCACAGAUGAUAAGCUGUAUAAAUCAAUCAUGUUUUUUGUUGUUUUUGUUUUUUCCAAUUUGAAAUCUGGGCCCGGGGAGGAAUCGGUCUCGUCUCUGCUCUGGCUGCAGGCAGUUUGCAGCAGGAUGAUCACUUGCCCUUCCUGUCCCCGAUCCUGACCUACUCCUCUGGAUUUGGACCUCCUGGCUUUUGACCCUCCAUCUGUCUGACCCUGAGAUCUGGAACCGCCUGACCUGGAUUUGGAUCCCCUGGCUCUGACCCUGACCUGUCUGACUGUGAAAAAGCCGACCCCUUAAUAAACACCUGUUCUGUAUUCACAGGUCAGUCCCUGCGUCCAUCAGUGCCUGGAUCGUGUCAACAAGUCCGAGAUUGUAUUUUUUUUAAAAAUUGAUCGCCAUUAAUUUUGUUGUCAAAAUGGCCUGCAAACUGUUCUUUUUAAAUCUUUUAAUAUUACAGUCCAAAAUCCAUGGAUCUUGUACUUUAUUCUGAGUGUUUAGACACUUUCACCAUCUC